Molecule: ribosomal RNA, 430 nt
Filed under: bacterium
Lineage: Bacteria
Description: partial 16S ribosomal RNA
Rfam family: Bacterial small subunit ribosomal RNA
Source: RNAcentral
UGGGGUAUAUUGGACAAUGGGGGGAACCCUGAUCCAGCCAUGCCGCGUGUGUGAAGAAGGCCUUAUGGUUGUAAAGCACUUUAAGCGAGGAGGAGGCUCUCUUGGUUAAUACCCAAGAUGAGUGGACGUUACUCGCAGAAUAAGCACCGGCUAACUCUGUGCCAGCAGCCGCGGUAAUACAGAGGGUGCGAGCGUUAAUCGGAUUUACUGGGCGUAAAGCGUGCGUAGGCGGCUUUUUAAGUCGGAUGUGAAAUCCCCGAGCUUAACUUGGGAAUUGCAUUCGAUACUGGGAAGCUAGAGUAUGGGAGAGGAUGGUAGAAUUCCAGGUGUAGCGGUGAAAUGCGUAGAGAUCUGGAGGAAUACCGAUGGCGAAGGCAGCCAUCUGGCCUAAUACUGACGCUGAGGUACGAAAGCAUGGGGAGCAAACAGG